GGGGCUGACCGGUUUUGACAGCAGGCAGAGUCGGAAAGUAAGCAUGCCGAGCUUUGUGUGGAUGGCUCGUAAAUCUCAACGCUCAACUUUAUAAAUGGCAAUAAUAGCUAUGCACUCGCUGCGUAAUCUUACGAUGUAACAUUACCUUAAUUCUCUGACCCAAGGAGGCCGGAGAACGAGUACUCCGCCGGUGGAACCCGCUUCUUGUUCCGUCGGCACCGGAGUAUCGACAAUGAGAAGCUGGCUGCGGCGCGUGUCCGGGUUGCCGCGGCGAGAAAAUACGGACUGGGCUUCGUACUAGGCUGCCGUAUGCCGGGUGCGGAGAGGAGGAUAAAACGACGGCUAAGCAUGUAGAAAGCCUUCGGGUUCCCUGUUUGGACGAGGGUUCGACUCCCUCCAGCUCCACA
Molecule: transfer-messenger RNA, 407 nt
Filed under: uncultured Tidjanibacter sp.
Lineage: Bacteria; Pseudomonadati; Bacteroidota; Bacteroidia; Bacteroidales; Rikenellaceae
Rfam family: transfer-messenger RNA
About the family: Bacterial tmRNA, also known as 10Sa RNA or SsrA, is named for its dual tRNA and mRNA-like properties. Its role is to liberate the mRNA from a stalled ribosome.
Source: RNAcentral